AUGGCGUUCAACACGAAGCUUCUUUUGGCCAUUUGCUGCGUCGCAUUGGUCUUCACUCUUGUCUUUGCAAACAUUUCUGAAGAAGAGAUCGAUGGCUUCGUCGAGGAGCACAACAAGGCUCGUAAAGAGGUCGGCAACAAACCCCUCAAGUGGAAUACGACCUUGGCCCAGUAUGCCCAAGAAUAUGCGGAUAAAAGAGUUGGCGACUGCGCCAUGGAGCACUCGAUGGGGCGUUGGGGUGAGAACUUGGCCUCCGGCGACGGCAUGAGCGGCGCAGCGGCCACCAAAUAUUGGGUCACUGAGAAGGAGUUCUAUGACGAAAAGUCCAACAAAUGCGUCAAAGACGAAUGUGGUCACUACCUUGCUGUGGUAUGGGGCAAAACCACCGAGGUCGGAUGUGGCAUUUCAAAGUGCAACAAUGGACAGAACUAUGUGGUUUGCAGCUACGAUCCCAUGUACCAGCCUGAGGACGAGCGCCCCUACUAG
Molecule: long non-coding RNA, 486 nt
Filed under: Prunus dulcis (almond)
Lineage: Eukaryota; Viridiplantae; Streptophyta; Magnoliopsida; Rosales; Rosaceae
Description: sRNA ncRNA
Source: RNAcentral